CGUACCACACAGUCACACACAAAAACAAGAAGAUGCACCAACAAUUCACAAAUCUCACACUCAACGUUUCUUUACUGCAAGUCUAGCAUCAUCGCAUGUCUGGUUCUUUGCGGUUUCUUGUCACUUAAUGGCGUUGAUGAUUCAGCCACUAGCGAGCACAAUGUCGGCACUAGUGAUUCAGCCAGCGGCCACCUUGACAACGCUGUUGUAUUACAGCGAUCUUCUUCCUCGGAAUCUCAACUUGGAACGAUUGGUUUGCCGUCAAUUGCUUCGUCGGGGAAACCUUCUGUUUAGUUUUCUUGUUCACUUCUUGGCAUGUUUCUGGUAGAGCUGUUUAUCAUCACGAGUAUCCUGAGCAAAAGUAUCAAUGAAUAUCUUUUCCCUUUGAUUUUCU
Coffea eugenioides is the source of this 394-nucleotide long non-coding RNA. RefSeq lists it as uncharacterized. The transcript has 2 exons. The record is from RefSeq and is a predicted model, not a curated record. NCBI's taxonomy places the organism in Eukaryota, Viridiplantae, Streptophyta, Magnoliopsida, Gentianales, Rubiaceae.